RNAcentral lists this long non-coding RNA (1645 nucleotides) under Salmo salar (Atlantic salmon). RNAcentral's name for it is "lncRNA (ENSSSAG00000094001.1)". The record is from RNAcentral. Lineage: Eukaryota; Metazoa; Chordata; Actinopteri; Salmoniformes; Salmonidae.
GUUCUAUUCCUGUUGAAUCAGACAGAGAGACAGGGACAGAGGUUCUAUUCCUGUUCUAGUUGAAUCAGACAGAGAGACAGGGACAGAGGUUCUAUUCCUGUUCUAGAUGAAUCAGACAGAGAGACAGGGACAGAGGUUCUAUUCCUGUUCUAGUUGAAUCAGACAGAGAGACAGGGACAGAGGUUCUAUUCCUGUUGUAGUUGAAUCAGACAGAGAGACAGGGACAGAGGUUCUAUUCCUGUUGAAUCAGAGAGAGACAGGGACAGAGGUUCUAUUCCUGUUCUAGUUGAAUCAGACAGAGAGACAGGGUCAGAGGUUCUAUUCCUGUUCUAGAUGAAUCAGACAGAGAGACAGGGACAGAGGUUCUAUUCCUGUUGAAUCAGACAGAGAGACAGGGACAGAGGUUCUAUUCCUGUUCUAGAUGAAUCAGACAGAUAGACAGGGACAGAGGUUCAAUUCCUGUUCUAGUUGAAUCAGACAGAGAGACAGGGUCAGAGGUUCUAUUCCUGUUCUAGAUGAAUCAGACAGAGAGACAGGGACAGAGGUUCUAUUCCUGUUGAAUCAGACAGAGAGACAGGGACAGAGGUUAUAUUCCUGUUCUAGUUUAAUCAGACAGAGAGACAGGGACAGAGGUUCUAUUCCUGUUGAAUCAGACAGAGAGGCAGGGACAGAGGUUCUAUUCCUGUUCUUGUUGAAUCAGACAGAGAGACAGGGACAGAGGUUCUAUUCCUGUUGAAUCAGACAGAGAGACAGGGACAGAGGUUCUAUUCCUGUUCUAGAUGAAUCAGACAGAGAGACAGGGACAGAGGUUCAAUUCCUGUUCUAGAUGAAUCAGACAGAGAGACAGGGACAGAGGUUCUAUUCCUGUUGAAUCAGACAGAGAGACAGGGACAGAGGUUAUAUUCCUGUUCUAGUUUAAUCAGACAGAGAGACAGGGACAGAGGUUCUAUUCCUGUUGAAUCAGACAGAGAGACAGGGACAGAGGUUCUAUUCCUGUUCUUGUUGAAUCAGACAGAGAGACAGGGACAGAGGUUCUAUUCCUGUUCUAGAUGAAUCCGACAGAGAGACAGGGACAGAGGUUCUAUUCCUGUUCUAGUUGAAUCAGACAGAGAGACAGGGACAGAGGUUCUAUUCCUGUUGAAUCAGACAGAGAGACAGGGUCAGAGGUUCCAUUCCUGUUGAAUCAGACAGAGAGACAGGGACAGAGGUUCUAUUCCUGUUCUAGAUGAAUUAGACAGAGCGACAGGGACAGAGGUUCUAUUCCUGUUGAAUCAGACAGAGAGACAGGGACAGAGGUUCUAUUCCUGUUCUAGAUGAAUCAGACAGAGAGACAGGGACAGAGGUUCAAUUCCUGUUCUAGUUGAAUCAUACAGAGAGACAGGGUCAGAGGUUCUAUUCCUGUUCUAGAUGAAUCAGACAGAGAGACAGGGACAGAGGUUCUAUUCCUGUUGAAUCAGACAGAGAGACAGGGACAGAGGUUAUAUUCCUGUUCUAGUUGAAUCAGACAGAGAGACAGGGACAGAGGUUAUAUUCCAAUUCUAGAUGAAUCAGACAGAGAGACAGGGACAGAGGUUCUAUUCCUGUUCUAGAUGAAUCAGACAGAGAGACAGGGACAGAGGUUCUAUUCCUGUUCUAGAUGAAUCAG